RNAcentral lists this ribosomal RNA (404 nucleotides) under Verrucomicrobiota bacterium. Its description in RNAcentral is "Verrucomicrobia bacterium partial 16S ribosomal RNA". It matches the Rfam family "Bacterial small subunit ribosomal RNA", at positions 355 to 776 of the family's 1533-position model. The record is from RNAcentral. Lineage: Bacteria; Pseudomonadati; Verrucomicrobiota.
UGGGGAAUAUUGCACAAUGGGGGAAACCCUGAUGCAGCGACGCCGCGUGAGCGAAGAAGGUUUUCGAAUCGUAAAGCUCUGUCCUAUGAGAAGAUAAUGACGGUAUCAUAGGAGGAAGCCCCGGCUAAAUACGUGCCAGCAGCCGCGGUAAUACGUAGGGCGCAAGCGUUAUCCGGAAUUAUUGGGCGUAAAGAGCUUGUAGGCGGUUCGUCGCGUCUGGUGUGAAAGCCCAUCGCUUAACGGUGGGUUUGCGCCGGGUACGGGCGGGCUAGAGUGCAGUAGGGGAGACUGGAAUUCCCGGUGUAACGGUGGAAUGUGUAGAUAUCGGGAAGAACACCAAUGGCGAAGGCAGGUCUCUGGGCUGUUACUGACGCUGAGAAGCGAAAGCGUGGGGAGCGAACAGG